GACGAACGCUGGCGGCGUGCUUAACACAUGCAAGUCGAACGGAAAGGCCCUGCUUUUGUGGGGUGCUCGAGUGGCGAACGGGUGAGUAACACGUGAGUAACCUGCCCUUGACUUUGGGAUAACUUCAGGAAACUGGGGCUAAUACCGGAUAGGAGCUCCUGCUGCAUGGCGGGGGUUGGAAAGUUUCGGCGGUUGGGGAUGGACUCGCGGCUUAUCAGCUUGUUGGUGGGGUAGUGGCUUACCAAGGCUUUGACGGGUAGCCGGCCUGGGAGGGUGACCGGCCACAUUGGGACUGGGAUACGGCCCAGACUCCUACGGGAGGCAGCAGUGGGGAAUAUUGCACAAUGGGCGGAAGCCUGAUGCAGCAACGCCGCGUGCGGGAUGACGGCCUUCGGGUUGUAAACCGCUUUCGCCUGUGACGAAGCGUGAGUGACGGUAAUGGGUAAAGAAGCACCGGCUAACUACGUG
Molecule: ribosomal RNA, 468 nt
Filed under: uncultured bacterium
Lineage: Bacteria
Description: partial 16S ribosomal RNA
Rfam family: Bacterial small subunit ribosomal RNA
Source: RNAcentral